This 397-nucleotide ribosomal RNA is filed under the name Nasutitermes dixoni. RNAcentral describes it as "partial 12S ribosomal RNA". Lineage: Eukaryota; Metazoa; Arthropoda; Insecta; Blattodea; Termitidae. The record is from RNAcentral.
UAUUAUUUUAAAAUGUUAAUUUUUGUACCCGAGUAGUAUUAGUUAUGUUCUUGAAACUUAAAGAAUUUGGCGGUAUCUCAUUCCGUCUAGAGGAAUCUGUCCCGUUAUCGAUAGUCCACGUUGGACCUUACUUAUUUUAUUUUGGUUUGUAUACCGCCGUUUAUUGAUUAUCUUUUUAGGGUUUAUUUAAUUUUCUGGUUUCUUUAUUUUGAUAUAUUUCAGGUCAAGGUGCAGCUUGUUUUUAAGUGGAAUGAUGGAUUACAUUAUUAUUUGUUUGUGGAUUAUCAAUUUUAAUAUUGGCAUGAAAUUGGAUUUAGUUGUAAUGGUUUGUAGAUUGUUACUAUGAUAAUGGUUCUGAGAUAUGUACACAUCGCCCGUCGCUCUCGUUUAUUAUAAU